Long non-coding RNA from Apis cerana (Asiatic honeybee), 2105 nucleotides. RefSeq lists it as uncharacterized. Lineage: Eukaryota; Metazoa; Arthropoda; Insecta; Hymenoptera; Apidae. The record is from RefSeq and is a predicted model, not a curated record.
GUAAUUUUUUUUUCUUCUGUUAAUUUCCAUAUAUUUUUAAGUUUCCCAAUAUUUCAAAAAAAAACGUAACUAAAAGUCAUAUUUUUCAUUAAUCACAAUAUAAAAUCAACCAGAGACAGCUAAUAUAAUCAUUCACUUUGAGAAAUAUUCUAUGUUAAGUAACGAGAUAAGAACUUGUUUCAAGGAACUAACUUGUUUCAAGGAAAAGAAAAAAAACUAUGUAAUCCUUUCUGAUAAUAGAUAAAAAAAAAUAUUCAGAUAACGUGGAAGAAAGGAUUUGAAAGUUCGUAUGGAAAUAAAUGUCGGGAUACAAAUUAUUUAUAAUUUAUCAUUAAAGAUUAACCAUAAUUCGUGAAUAAAUAUUUUAAUAAAAACACACACUUUUAUAUAUUAAUUCGAAUCUUUAUCUCGAAUCAUAUUUUAAAACAUUACAAAAUGUUCAAAAUUUCAAUUUGAAUUACGAUUAAAUCACUACAUCAAAAAAUAUCUUAAGGAUAACUCUUUAUGAAUAUCAAUCAUACAAUCGUUACUCAAUGUUCUUUCGCAGGUAAAAUAUCUUUCCUUUUGAGGUCCAAAUAAAAAAUCAACACGAAUUACGUGUCAAUUGUAUUAAAACGAAAAAUGUUACUAUUUUUGUAUUGCGUCAUGUCUUUUCAUAUGCAAAAACAGCAUGAAGUUGAUAUGACAUUUCUUUUAUGCGCAAUACUAUUACAUACUACAUACUAUAGUUACAUACUAUUUAUACACACGUUGGUAUCUAUGAUCAUGGUGUUCUGUCUCAAAAAUGUAAAACAUUAACGACAUGUGUCACAUUUGUAACUUGUGACGUGAUGUCUCGUCCUCGAAUGCCAAAACCAAUUACUUAUCUCUAGUUUCUUCUAUUCAUUCUUCUAUUCAUUCUUACAUAAUUGUAAAAUUAUUAAAAACCAAGCGGAAAUAUCAAUAAUGCUCAUUAUAAUCAAUGGCGCUGAUUAUUUUCAUAUGUCGAUCUUAUAUGUAUAUGAAAUUAGAGAGAUAUCAAGGAUGUCAAUUAUAUCAGUACUGCGUCUUGUCCCCGGUACGGUGAUUAAAUUAAAGUGACAACAUUGUUCUCUUAUUAACUAUAAUCACUAUAAAUUCAAUAUAUGAUUAUGCAUGUGAGAUUGUUCACGGCGCAUAUUUUCGUGUGGCGUCGUGUAAAAGAUCGCGCGACAAUCAAAUACGAAACCGUCGACCAGUGGCGCAGCAAAGCUUUAUCACGGCAAUACGAUAUUGCGCUCAAGAUUUGAACUUUGCGACGCUGAUAUCGUAGGUAACGUGAAACUACUCGGCUAGCUCUGUUUCGCAACGUGUUCACAAGGAAGAAAAUUUUCCACUACGAGGCCAAUCGCCAGGAUUUCGCUGAGCUUUGUACUUAUUUGGUUUCCUUCGUCACUACGUUUAACUGAUAAGUUUUAUCAUCUGUAGUGAUAACAAGAAACGGAUAUCUAUUCUGAUUCGUUGAUGGGACUGUAGGCGCGGCUAUGAAGCGUCUACAAGACGGUGGCAACAGAGUGCUUCAGUGGAAAUUUCCAUUGCAGUUGGCAUGCUGUGUGCUAUAACUGUACAGUCCAUUAUAAAAGUAGCAGUUUUCUUAUAUUAAUUAUUAUAAGUAUUAUAAAAAAUUGUUCAUUAUUCUUUAUAAUAUAAAUAUUAUAUUUUUUUUUAAUAUAUUUUUUAUAAAACUGAGUUUUUAAAACUAUAGUAUAAUUUUUAUUCCAAAUAAAUCAAUAAAAUAAUUUUAUAUUGUUAUCAAGAAAUACAAAAUUUCUCAUUUAUAAUUAUUUAUAUAUGGAUUAUAUAUAUGGAAAAAUUUAUAUUUAAGAUAUAUCAUUUAUAUUACAGAUACAAUAUAUAAUUGCGAUUUUAUUUAUUUAUUGAUAAGUAGAUUUCUUUUUAAUCGACUCAUAUGGAAUUAAAUUCUGAUCGCAUAAACAAAAAAGUUGAUCUAACAAUAUUAAUCUAACAAUAUUAUUUAUAGUAUUUAAAUUGUAAAUGAAAUAAAAAUAUAUAUAAAUAUAUCAUUUAUAAAAAAAUUAAUAAUUUUUAUUUAUUUUUGUAACUUAAUAAAUUAGUAAUAAGUAAAA